UUAUUCCAGUCUUAGUUGGAAAUAGAAUCUCUGUAUUGAUUCAGGUAAAAACUGAACUUCACAGCAUGUUGGAGCAAAGCAACCAGAUGAAAACUGUGAUGGUGUUGGAUUGUCAGACCGUAAUGUUGCAGCUCAAAGCAGCUUUUCUAGCUCAGUUCAUUCUGACAUUCAGCUAUGAAUCAACACAGCAGAUGGUGAUCCAUGCUGUGGAAGUCUCACAUCUCCUGAUUUAAUGGAGCUGCUUUGCACUUUUUACAGUUUAUUCACCAACACUUUAUUUAAUAAAAGUCCCAUCUAGUUUUUAUGAGGAAUGUGAUGUUUUAAUUUCUCUGUGAAUAACUGCAGUCUAAUGCAACAGCUGGAAUUGUAACAUCUGUCCUGAUAUUGAUCAUGAAGUAUUGAUCAGAAUACUUAUGGUCAGCAGUCAUCCCUGAAGUUUUACAUUCAAAUCUGUACUUGUGUUGUGAACUUUGGUAAGAAGCAGAAACUUUAGCGUUGCCAUGGAUACAUGAGUGUUAAAUUCUGUCCAUGUUUCCAUUUUGGGAAAUUCAGUCCAGCAGAUGAGUUUGUUUUUACUGCCAGCUACCAUUCAGUCUGAGAUAUUAAGAAUAAAUAAAUGUGCAUAAUGUGGAAAUGAACAGAUUCUAUUUUUAUUUAUUCCUACAGUUGCUGCAUGUAAAGUUCCAGAAUGUGGAGGAAUUUAGUCGCACAAUCACAGACAAUAAAUAUUAUCUUAAAGUCGGGUUAUUGUUGUUUAUCAGUACAAUACAAAAAGAUUCAUGUUAGAAAUAUUCCAGUUAAGACUCUAGAAUAUCAGGAUUUAUGUAAAUUUACCUCAAUAAUAUGAAUGUUCAGGUUAAGAUUGAACAGUGAUAUUUAUUAUGUAAGUUUAGCUGAUUAAUGUUUAUGACUCUGCACUACAUUAUUUAUUUAAAUUGACAUCAUUAUUGUAAUAUUUAGGGUCAGACCCUACAGAAUUGAGAUUAAGAAAUCAAAUAUUCUAUAAAAUGUAAAUACACUGAACUAAUCUGGAUAUAUUUAAGUGAGACUCAAUAUUACAAUAUUAUUUAUGACAGAAAUCUAUCUAAAUCAAAAUUUAAAUCAUUUUUACUCCAAACAUUUACUGGGCUGGUUUAAAUAUUAAAAUCACUCCUUUCUAAUCCUCUGCUGUACGUUCAAACCUGAGGCCUUAAAUAGAAACACACAAGUAUCUGAUUAAAGGAACUUCUGCAGAGUCCUGGUUCCAGAACAUGAUCAUAGAAUUAUAGACAAACUUUAACAAAAGCUGCCUGAGAGUUUACAGGUUUUUAUGUUAAAUUUCUUCAGUAAUUUAAUGAGAGUUAUCAGCAAAAAUCAAGUGUUCAUUUGAUGAACUUCAUUUCCUAAAACAUCCAGAAUUGGAGCUCAUAUCUUUGGCAGCUGUAAAGUUUCUGCUCCUUCAAAGUUCACAACACAAUGAAUGAAUUCCUAAAACACUCUCAAUGCUGGAGAGCGUUUGAUGCUGAAGCAGUGAUCAGUUUUUCUGUUUCUUCUCUGGAGAUGCACAAUGAGGGACGUCUGCAGAGACUGAGAAAGAGUCUCACCACAUCCUGACAUGAGGAAAAAGACUUUAUUGAAGACUACAAUGAGAAAAACUAUCAGACAGCAGACGGCUGCAUUCAAGUCUGUAGCUGCUGAAUUCAUGGAUGAAUCAUCUGGCACUCGAGAGGAAGACCAUCAAACAUCCACAUCAGCUGAUGGAGGUCCAAGAGUCUCACCCAACAAACAACCUACAGAGUGAAGACCUCAAAUCUGAUUGGACGGCCUCCUAUUCAGCCACAUGUGUGAACAAAUGCCUCUAAGCUGAUUUGUUUUCUAAAAUAAAUC
Molecule: long non-coding RNA, 1866 nt
Organism: Amphiprion ocellaris (clown anemonefish)
Lineage: Eukaryota; Metazoa; Chordata; Actinopteri; Pomacentridae
Source: Ensembl